RNAcentral lists this ribosomal RNA (359 nucleotides) under uncultured euryarchaeote. RNAcentral's name for it is "bacterial SSU rRNA". It matches the Rfam family "Archaeal small subunit ribosomal RNA", at positions 500 to 857 of the family's 1478-position model. The record is from RNAcentral. Lineage: Archaea; Methanobacteriati; Methanobacteriota.
UUUAUUGGGCCUAAAACGUCCGUAGCCGGUCUGAUACAUUCUUGGUGUAAAUCAACCAGCUCAACUGGUUGAAUUCUGCGAGGACCGUCAGACUUGGGACCGGGAGAGGUGUGGGGUACUCUCAGGGUAACGGGUAAAAUCCUGUCAUCCUGAGCGGACCACCUGUUGCGAAGGCGCCACACUAGAACGGAUCCGACGGUCAAGGACGAAACCUAGGGGCACGAACCGGAUUAGAUACCCGGGUAGUCCUAGGUGUAAACGCUGUGGACUUGAUGUUGGGGGUGCUCCGAGCACUCUCAGUGUCGAAGCGAAGGUGAUAAGUCCACUGCCUGGGAAGUACGGUCGCAAGGCUGAAACUU